GAUGAACGCUGGCGGCGUGCCUAAUACAUGCAAGUCGAGCGAACGGACGAGAAGCUUGCUUCUCUGAUGUUAGCGGCGGACGGGUGAGUAACACGUGGAUAACCUACCUAUAAGACUGGGAUAACUUCGGGAAACCGUAGCUAAUACCGGAUAAUAUUUUGAACCGCAUGGUUCAAAAGUGAAAGACGGUCUUGCUGUCACUUAUAGAUGGAUCCGCGCUGCAUUAGCUAGUUGGUAAGGUAACGGCUUACCAAGGCAACGAUGCAUAGCCGACCUGAGAGAGGGAUCGGCCACACUGGAACUGAGACACGGUCCAGACUCCUACGGGAGGCAGCAGUAGGGAAUCUUCCGCAAUGGGCGAAAGCCUGACGGAGCAACGCCGCGUGAGUGAUGAAGGUCUUCGGAUCGUAAAACUCUGUUAUUAGGGAAGAACAUAUGUGUAAGUAACUGUUCACAUCUUGACGGUACCUAAUCAGAAAGCCACGGCUAACUACGUG
RNAcentral lists this ribosomal RNA (497 nucleotides) under uncultured bacterium. RNAcentral describes it as "partial 16S ribosomal RNA". It matches the Rfam family "Bacterial small subunit ribosomal RNA", at positions 28 to 507 of the family's 1533-position model. The record is from RNAcentral.